GAAACGAAAAAACCGCCCUGGCAGGCGGUUUGUUCGAAGGUGUUGUCAGUUGGGGAACCGACGUCACCUGGUAACGGCUCCGUAGAGGGAAGCAGCUACCUAAAGUCCUAACAAGUUUAGCGGCUACAUGCCGUAUCUUUCAAGCUAAAUCCCUCUCUAAGACCGUUACCGAAGGCCACCACCUUUGGCGCUUUGUCGUACCCGCACGGAUUGGAAGCAUGAGUUUGUUGCCGUGUGUGGGUGUGGUUGGUCGGGCAGAACGGGGAAAUCUCACAUACUGCCCAGCGUGCGAUCGCGCACCACAGCCGCCCACGAUUCGCAACCGUGGGGCAUUUGCAAGCAGAGCGUAACGGGGAACCAACCACGGCCAGCUCUUAAAAAACGGCGCGGCAGUCCAGCCAACAGGCGGGGGCUAAAGCAGAUGCAGCAAGGACGGGGUGUGUCUCUGGAGCGCGUGAGAGGGAGCUGCCGCAAGCAGCCUCGAUAGUCCGGAGCAAGGCGAGUCUAUCUUGUGUAA
RNAcentral lists this non-coding RNA (517 nucleotides) under Aeromonas sobria. The record is from RNAcentral. Lineage: Bacteria; Pseudomonadati; Pseudomonadota; Gammaproteobacteria; Aeromonadales; Aeromonadaceae.